CCCCUAGAUGUUCUGGGCCGCACGCGCGCUACACUGAACAGUUCAACAAGUCUUAACCUUGGCCGAUAGGUCUGGGUAAUCUUUGAACGCUGUUCGUGAUUGGGAUAGACCUUUGCAAUUAUGGGUCUUCAACGAGGAAUUCCUAGUAAACGCAAGUCAUCAGCUUGCAUUGAUUACGUCCCUGCCCUUUGUACACACCGCCCGUCGCACCUACCGAUUGAAUGGUCCGGUGAAGCCUCGGGAUUGUGGCUGGUCUCCUUUAUUGGGGGUCGGUCGCGAGAACUUGUCUAAACCUUAUCAUUUAGAGGAAGGUGAAGUCGUAACA
This 325-nucleotide ribosomal RNA is filed under the name uncultured eukaryote. Its description in RNAcentral is "partial 18S ribosomal RNA". It matches the Rfam family "Eukaryotic small subunit ribosomal RNA", at positions 1470 to 1796 of the family's 1831-position model. The record is from RNAcentral.